GGAAGGUGGGGAUGACGUCAAGUCAUCAUGGCCCUUAUGUCCAGGGCGACACACGUGCUACAAUGGCCGGCGACAACGGGAAGCGAGUUCGCGAGGACGAGCGGAUCCCUCAAAGCCGGUCGCAGUUCGGAUUGAAGUCUGCAACUCGACUUCAUGAAGCUGGAAUCGCUAGUAAUCGUGGAUCAGCCAAGCCGCGGUGAAUACGUUCCCGGGCCUU
Molecule: ribosomal RNA, 217 nt
Filed under: uncultured Synergistaceae bacterium
Lineage: Bacteria; Thermotogati; Synergistota; Synergistia; Synergistales; Synergistaceae
Description: partial 16S ribosomal RNA
Rfam family: Bacterial small subunit ribosomal RNA
Source: RNAcentral